Molecule: long non-coding RNA, 203 nt
Filed under: Elaeis guineensis (African oil palm)
Lineage: Eukaryota; Viridiplantae; Streptophyta; Magnoliopsida; Arecales; Arecaceae
Description: long non-coding RNA (EGUI_LNC070512)
Source: RNAcentral
GUAGUCCAUGAGCCAGUCAUUAAUGUUUCUCUGCCACCUUGUAAACCUAGUAGGGUCUUUUGACCUCCUAAAAGAUACAUGGGUUUCCUUACAAAGGAAGUAAAGAAAAUAUUUUUCAUAAGAGUAGGGGUCAUGGUGAUGAUCCCAAUACCUUUGACGAGGCGAUGUCUGAUAUCGAUUUCUUGAAAUGGUUAGAUGCUAUG